UCGAGAAGCUUCGGCAAUGGGCGAAAGCCUGACCGAGCGAUGCCGCGUGAGCGAAGAAGGCCCUAUGGGUUGUAAAGCUCUGUCAGAUUGGGAAGAAAGCUCCGGGGUUAAUACCCUCGGAGUGUGACGGUACCAUCAGAGGAAGCACCGGCUAACUCCGUGCCAGCAGCCGCGGUAAUACGGAGGGUGCAAGCGUUGUUCGGAUUCACUGGGUAUAAAGGGUGCGCAGGCGGCCUGACAAGUCAGGGGUGAAAUAUGACGGCUCAACCGUCAAACUGCCUCUGAAACUGUCAGGCUUGAGUCCGGGAGAGGUAGGUGGAAUUCCAGGUGUAGCGGUGAAAUGCGUAAAUAUCUGGAGGAACACCGGUGGCGAAGGCGGCCUACUGGCCCGGUAAUGACGCUCAGGCACGAAAGCUUGGGGAGCAAACAGGAUUAGAUACCCUGGUAGUCCACGCCGUAAACGAUGGGUACUAGGUGUUGCGGGUAUUGACCCCUGCAAGUGCCAAAAGCUAACGCAUUAAGUACCCCGCCUGGGGGAGUACGGCCGCAAGGCUAA
Molecule: ribosomal RNA, 556 nt
Filed under: uncultured bacterium
Lineage: Bacteria
Description: bacterial SSU rRNA
Rfam family: Bacterial small subunit ribosomal RNA
Source: RNAcentral